Long non-coding RNA from Cyprinus carpio (common carp), 603 nucleotides. The record is from Ensembl. Lineage: Eukaryota; Metazoa; Chordata; Actinopteri; Cypriniformes; Cyprinidae.
AUGAAAAAUAUAAUUUUCUUCUGUGUACUUUGGUUUGGAUAUAUGCAAAUCCCAACCAGUGAUGCAUCUAUAUCAAUACAAGGAUCUUCUGAUCUGCUGAGAGUUCAGAAGGGAGAAAGCAUCAUUAUGAAAUGCAACAUGAGAAACCGAUAUGAAAUCGCCUGGUAUCACCUCAGAGCUAACCGAUUCAAUCUGUUGAUUUCUGCACAGACUGACAUAACAGGGAGAAAAUUUCUGACCACCUACAAUCUAUUCCAAACUCGUCUGAAAAUCGCUGCAGACACAUGGAUCACCAGAGCCACGCUAGAGAUUUCUGGAGUAACAGAGUCAGAUUCAGAGAUGCACUUCGAUCGACCCAUCAGACUAGAGAUCGAGGGUCAACAUGCCGAGGAUCUGAGUACCGAACUGCCAAAAGAAGCUGACAACACAGAUGAGGUGACGCUGAUGGAGCGUGUGCUUAUGUUUGGUGGUGCUGGACUUGCUGCGUUUGUGUUUUUUCUGGCUACAGUCAUUGCAGGAGGACUCCUUCACUAUCACGGUUGGCAGAAAGGAUGGAGCGCAGCCAAUCAUGCUGGUCCUGCUGAUCAAAAAUUACCUAGAUGA